GAAUUUUGGACAAUGGGCGAAAGCCUGAUCCAGCAAUGCCGCGUGCAGGAAGAAGGCCUUCGGGUUGUAAACUGCUUUAGUACGGAACGAAGAGCCUUGGGUUAAUACCCCGGAGUCAUGACGAUACCGUAAGAAGAAGCACCGGCUAACUACGUGCCAGCAGCCGCGGUAAUACGUCGGGUGCAAGCGUUAAUCGGAAUUACUGGGCGUAACGCGUGCGCAGGAGGUUUUGUAAGACAGAUGUGAAAUCCCCGGGCUCAACCUGGGAACUGCCUUUGUGACUGCAAGGCUAGAGUACGGCAGAGGGGGGUGGAAUUCCGCGUGUAGCAGUGAAAUGCGUAGAUAUGCGGAGGAACACCGAUGGCGAAGGCAACCCCCUGGGCCUGUACUGACGCUCAUGCACGAAAGCGUGGGGAGCAAACAG
RNAcentral lists this ribosomal RNA (424 nucleotides) under uncultured bacterium. Its description in RNAcentral is "partial 16S ribosomal RNA". It matches the Rfam family "Bacterial small subunit ribosomal RNA", at positions 359 to 775 of the family's 1533-position model. The record is from RNAcentral.